This 445-nucleotide ribosomal RNA is filed under the name uncultured soil bacterium. RNAcentral's name for it is "bacterial SSU rRNA". It matches the Rfam family "Bacterial small subunit ribosomal RNA", at positions 26 to 518 of the family's 1533-position model. The record is from RNAcentral.
AGAACGAACGCUGGCGGCAUGCCUAAUACAUGCAAGUCGAACGAACACUUCGGUGUUAGUGGCGCACGGGUGCGUAACGCGUGGGAAUCUGCCCUUGGGUUCGGAAUAACAGUUGGAAACGACUGCUAAUACCGGAUGAUAUCGAAAGAUCAAAGAUUUAUCGCCCAGGGAUGAGCCCGCGUAGGAUUAGCUAGUUGGUGAGGUAAAGGCUCACCAAGGCGACGAUCCUUAGCUGGUCUGAGAGGAUGAUCAGCCACACUGAGACUGAGACACGGCCCAGACUCCUACGGGAGGCAGCAGUAGGGAAUAUCGGACAAUGGGCGCAAGCCUGAUCCAGCAAUGCCGCGUGAGUGAUGAAGGCCUUAGGGUGUAAAGCUCUUUACCCGAGAUGAUAAUGACAGUAUCGGGAGAAUAAGCCCGGCUAAACUCCGUGCCAGCAAGCCGC